Long non-coding RNA from Vespula vulgaris, 7066 nucleotides. RefSeq lists it as uncharacterized. The transcript has 4 exons. Lineage: Eukaryota; Metazoa; Arthropoda; Insecta; Hymenoptera; Vespidae. The record is from RefSeq and is a predicted model, not a curated record.
UUGUAACUAAUAACAAAGAAUUAAAGCAAUUGUAUUCUUAUAUCACACAUUUCUUACUGUUUACUUUAUUUUAGAUUUAUAUUUUGAACUGGCGGUCGUCGGCUCGCGUGACGUCAACAACAUUAUACCUUUAAUCAACUUUGACUUUUAUUGGAUCAGUCGUGCGUUGUAUUUCGACGAGUAAGGAUCGAAGCUCCCUUAGGAUGUGUUUUUCUGGUCUUUGGUUAUGUGCGACGUCAACAUAACCGGACCUUUGAUCGAUAUUGACAAUUACUGGAUCAGUUUCCCAUUAUAUUUCGACGAGUGAACACAGAAAUUCUCAUGCUUUUCCUGCAAGUAAUAACGGAGAAUUCAAACUGGCAGUUCUUGGUUAUGUGUGACGUCAACAUAAUCGGACCUUUGAUCGAAUUUGAUAGUUACUGGAUCACUUUCGUUUUGUACACCGAGGAGUGAACAUAGAAAUUUUCACAGGAUAUCUUUCCUGCAAGUAUCAACGAAAAUUUUAAAACUUUAUUGUAAUCGAGCGUGUAGCAACGAAGUAAUCGAGUGUUUGUGUCGCUAAAAUAAAAAUAUUGCGAAAUAGAAGCAGUGUUUGUUCGUACGCGUUUCGCGAUUUAAAUAAUGAGUGUUCUUUUAUGAACUGCGUGCAAUGCAGUCGUUAGAGUCAGUAUUUGUUUGCGAAGUUUUUUGCUGUUUUAAUAGUCGCACAGACUGUAUUUAUAAAAGACUAGAGUUUCGCGAAAUAAAUUCAGUGAUCGUUCGUUAAUAAAUAAUUAUCGCGUAUUAGAGUCAGUGCAUCACCGAAGAGGAUUCCGAAGAUCAACUUCGAUGUCGAUCUAUCUCAUUUUCAACCAACUACAUAUCAUCCACCCUCAAUUUCGAUCUAAAUCGCGGACGAGUGUUUUGGAGCCAUCGCAGAACUUCUUAAGUAGUGAGUUAAUUUUUAAGUCUCUCCGAUCACUCAAUCACGUCGAGGACGAAAGGUCCGAAUCGGCACGAGUGAUUGGUUGUAAUUAAUUAGUAGACGAGCAUUGAGUGACCACGAGUAAAUUUCUUCGGAGAUUUACUCGUGAAUCUCGUUCGUUAUUUUUUGAUUUAUUUAUUAGAUCAGGAUAGAGUUUUCUUGUUCAAACGCGUUAAUUAUAAUUAUUUGAAAUAUUAAAUAUUUUAACACGUUUAUUAAAUAUUUUCUCUCGCGAUAUAACAAUAAAUAUUUACGAUAUUUACGAGUUCUAAUAAAGAAUGAGCGAGAAGACAUUCGCGAUGAAUAGUCUUUAAAUUACAAGCUAAAUUGUAUGAUUUAUAUUUUAAUAAUUAGAAUAAUCGCUUGUAAGAAGGAACGUCCAAAGAUUUUUUAUUACAUUUUUAAAUAAAAUAAACAGGUUUAUUGAUAAAAAGAAAGUCUCAAUAGAGUCAUUGCUUUUGAUCGAAAAAAGUCGAGUAGAGUCAUUGCUUUUGAAAGUAAGUAGAGUUCUAGUAGAGUUAUUGAUAAAAAAACAAAGAGACUUGUAAAAUCACAGCCCGUAAAACCUCAGAAUAAAUUAAUCAAUUUUUAGCUCAGGAUUUUCAGCAAUUAAUAUAUUAAUUCUCGUUUUCUUUCUGUGUUUUCUCAAUUUUUCGUUUCAGGAUGGUUUUAGAGUUGUGUUAGAUUUAUCAGUUUUCUUCCACGUUUUAGUUUUUUGAUAUUAACGAUAGUUAUCGAAUAUUCUAUAGUAGUGGUUAGGGCACGAAGCAAAGAAGAGACUAUAUGACCAAGAGUCCCUCACAAAUCGUGGCUCAAGAGGGCAACUAUUAGGCUAUUGAGUUAUUUUCGAAGGUUCGAUAAAACUCUUCGAUAAUGGCUCUUAGUCAUACUUUACCAUGUUGUCACUCAAAAUGCUCUUGUAUAAUAAUAAUAUAAAUUUCAGGAACUGAGACGACGUAACAUUUCGUCUCCCAUCCCACAUUGCCAGGGGUACGCGAAAAGAAUUUUUACGUAUUUUAUGCAUUUUUAUUAUUAAAGUCGAGUAAUCGCGUUUUUUUAAACGUUCAAUUAAACUCAUGAUUUUAUUUUUAUAAAAUCAAGUACUUUAUUAAAAUAAUAGCUGCGAAAUGUAUAAGAUAAAACAAUUGUGGGAAUCACCGAAAGUGCACUGAAUAAAAGUGCACAUGAAGCUGAAAGAAACACGAGAUGUGUGUCAAAUUCUCUCUUUGCCACGUGUUACGGGAAAAGAAUAUUUAUUUAGAUUAGGGUCGAUUCAUUUUCGUUUUCUCUUAUAAACUUGAAUUAAGUUCAGAAUUUUACUUUUACAUACAUAUGUAUAUUUUCUUCCCUAAUUUUUUUUUCUUUUCUAUAAAAUCAGGUUGUAAAUUAGGGUUUUUUAAAAUCAUGAAACGAAUAGGAGAUAGCAAUUGCAGAGAACUCCAAAACUGCAUUGAGUGAAAUUGCAUAUAAGGAUGCAAUAAGCAUAUUUAAAUAUAUGCCAUGUUCUUUGUUGGUAUCGUAUUACAGGAGGAUUAAAGAUUAAGAACUUUUCAUAUUCGAUAUAAUUAAUUCAAUAUAGAUUUCGGAAUAUGUUAGUAAUUAUAAAUAUUUCGAAAUUACAUUUCUUGCAGCAUAGGUUUAUAUGUGAUAAAUGCAAAUUGAGGAAACGAUGAUUUUUAAAUUUAUAGAUUCAGUAAGUACAUUUUGUAGUAGUGUCGAAAUAAAAUCAACCGUGUGCAGGUUUAAAUUCAGAAGAGAAUAAUUAAUAAAUAAGAUUAUUUUACUAAUAUUUAAAUAAUAGAACAUUGCUAGCAAUGUUACGAAGAUCAUAAAACACGAUCGACAUAAAAUAAAUUGAGUUUCGUCUUUCGACAAACAUAAAUCGCAAACUGGGGAGGAAAUAAUUAAUAAAUAAAAUUAUUUUAUUAAUAUUUAAAGGCUAAUUCUUCCAAUUAAUGUAGGGAUUUGAGUUCUUGCUAAGCUCUUGUCACUCUAGGAAUUAAAGUAGAGUUUAUAGAGUUCCACUCAGCUCGUGAGUCUUCAGAUGCAAUAAUUUUCACGCGAUAAGACCAGGAUCGUUAUUAUUCGCGAUAUAAAAGAAUCUAAUAGAACUUCAGUAAUACUACCGAAUGAUUGCAAUGGCAAUAUCGAAAAAUUAAAAGCAUGACCGAUGUCUGAAGCUGACGGUGUCGAACGGUGGAGCUUUUUGUAAGCGAGGUUUCACCAAACCUCUUGUUUUGCUAAGAAACCUGAAGCUCUCGAAGCGGAAAGACAUCUUGGAACGUGGAUUUUAGAAUAGAUUCACCAUUAGCCCAUGGAUCUUCAGAUGCAGUAACCGUUUCAUCGCCCAACAACCAUAUUUUAUCAUUUAGGGAUUUAGAUUUUUACACGGAUGUUUAAAGAAUCUUUCUACCUGAAGUGUAGAAGGAUUUCUGUUCUUCCAUUCGGGUGAGAUAGAAGGACAUUUGCGUUUGUGUCGGCUGGCAUAGGCACGAUUAAACCCAAGUUUGGCUCCAACGUACUCAACAUAUUCGUUUGAGUGUUCUUGGACACUUACGUAAGUAUUUGUGAGUGUGAUAAGAUUUAAUCUUGGAUCCAGGCGUAUUUGUCGUGAAAGCACGACCGGUUGUGCUCAAAUGGUGAUCGAAGCUUCCGAUGUUUCGAUGGUUGAGCUAUGCGUAAGUCGGUUCCCAAAUGCGGAAAUAUGCAUAGAGCUGCAAUUUUAGCGUUUGAGACUUGAAUUCGUCGUGGAGUGGAGAUCAUCCGGUUGUUUUGAUUUUUUAAUGAUAGUAGUAGUGGUAGUAUAAAAAGUAGAGUCACCGUUAGCCCGUGGGUCUCCAGAUGCAGCAACCUCCACGCGGUGAGACCUGGGUCGGUAUUACUUGCGAUGUAUCGAAACGUAAAUCUAAAUUAUGUAACGCAAGUACUACCGGGCGAAUGGCUGCAUAUUCAUGAAUCGAAGUUAAUACGUAUAAUGUUUUAAUAUCAUUUUAGUCACAUUGAAAUAUAUGAAAUAUACAUUUAUGAAAUAAAAUUUUCGGUAUACAUUGUUUGAUAUUUUUAUUUCGCGCGCACCAUGUUAUUGACGUGCUUUGUAACAUACCAUAGCAAAUGAAAGUGACGAGCGCAUUAUCUAAACAAACAAAAAAAAAAAAAAAGAAAGAAAGAAAAUAAAGAAGCACGACAUUUUUAUAAUUUAUAAAUAUUUUUUUUCUUACCUUCGUAAACAUUUCGUGCGAAGCUAUAAUAAUUCCCCUCAUAGAAAAAGUUGAUGGUUUCAGACUCGCAACCAUAAGCAAAACCAACAUUUUUCGCGUUUUUAUAGAUAACGCAUAAAAUGGAAUUUCACAACUUUGGAAAUGAUAGGAUGUUUUUUUAUAUAUAUUUAACGAUAUAAAAAAGAAAAUGCGUACGAGUCAUGAGUUUUUAAAAAACUUACCAUUUAGUCAAUAAACCGGUGCUAUUGUUUAUCAACUUUUGUCCGAGGUAGCAAUAAAUGUAUAUUAUGAACAAAUUUGCAGAAAUGUAGAGGGAACGUUUCAAUGUAUCGUUUAUAUUUUCUGUCAAAGGUAAUAACUCGAAUAACUGCAAAACAAAUGUUUCAAUUUUUAAAUCAUAAUAUAGAAUAAAACAGCGUAAUAUUUUUUGUUUUUCUAAUAGUAUAUCUAUAUCAUUUUAUGCUUAUUUACUAACGUUACUUACGUAAAGAUAAUCUAAAAUAAUGAAUGCCAUUGCAAAGAAUAAUUCGACAAAGUAUAUUCUAAUAUAUAUCAAUUUUAAUAAGGCGACGAAACUUUAAGAAAAAAAGAACACAUAUUAUAAAAUUAAAAAUUUACAUUUAAUAAUAAUAUAAAUUUGUUAUCGUAAAAAAUACAAACUUGAUGGCAUUACAAUGCCAUUUUAUAGCAUCUAAAAUCCAAUCAUAUUCCUUUUCGUAAGUAUUAAAAGGAUAAAUAUACAAAAAACUAUACUGACUUUUUUGGAAUGGUCUCUCUAGCUUUAUACUGUAACGAUUGAUUAAAUGAAAUAUUUUUUGAUGAAGAUAUCAGUUUCUUAAGGUAACGACGUUAUCAAUUAUUAUUAUACUUACCUAACGAUAUUGAACAAGGCGCAAGCAUGUUGUGUGAACGAUAUAAACAUUGAAUAGUUUGCAACACCCACAGUACAUAUGAUGAUUAUUGUUACGAUUUCAUAUAAAAGAAUGAAAUAGUAAUGCAUACUGUUUUGUAGAAAAUAUUCAAUGCGAAAUGGUAAUAUUAAUUGCGUAUCAUCAAUGACAUCGAAGGUGUAGAGUAGACCGUUUAAAACGGAUGGGAUCAUCAAAAAAGCUGUAUAAAGGUAACAGACAACUGAAAUUGCAAGAGCGAAAGAUUAAUUAUAAAGUUAUUUUAAACACUCGAUGUUAAGAAAAAAAGAAAAAAUAUUAUGUAUUUUUUGUGUACCAACAUGCGAUCGAUAUCAAACAUAGUUUGCUUUCAAAGGCGUACUUUCGCAUUAUUGUUAAUUCUUGUUGUUCUGUUAAAACGUUUAAAUCGUAUUUAAUACGAUGAAAAAUAGCUUUUACCUGAAAAAUAAAUGGUAUUUCGUUUUUCCUUUAUUCUUUUAUAUAUACGAAUGCGGUCUACAACGAAUGCAUAAUCAGUGCAAGAAAUUCACAACGGGUGAAUAAUUAAUUAAUUAAAUGUACGAACUCUGGCGGAAUUGUAGAUCAUAUUGCAAUAACACAGGAAGAAAGCUGAGGCGGGCAAAAGUGUUUGCAUUAUUUCAAUAAUUAAAUCCAUUUUCAACUCCAUUGUGAGAAAUAUGAUAGUCUAAAGUUAAUGAUAAAUUUUUUUACUUAAGAUUUUUAGAACAAAGAUCAUUUAUUAUUUAUGGUAAUGUAAUAAUCCGAUUUUGUUUUUCAAUAGACUAUACUUGUAUCGUUUAAACUUCUAAUAUCUCUCAGAUCGGUGUAAAAAAAUAUCAACGAGAAAUGAAGCUAACUACACGAUAAUUUAUGUAAACGUUUGUAACGUUAAGAUUUACCUGAGAUAAAAUGCUUAUAAUUAAGACGAAAAUUAUAAAAAUAACACGUGAGAGUCGUUUCGAUAACUUCUGAUAAGGCCAUAAACCAAUAAGCGCGAGCAAUUGAUGAUUAUAAAUGCAACAAUAUUUUCUGAAACGAUCUGAAGCUCUCAAAGUCAUACUAGCAUCUGUUCAACGAUUAAGAAAUUUACAAUCGCGCAUGACUGCAAUCCCCUUCGAGUUGCUUCGUUAAAUAUUCCACCACAAUUGUCAUUAAUAAUUUAUUUGUAGGGGAAAAUAAAAAUUAUAAGGAAAUGAAAGAAACAAUAUUCCCUUACUUGACAUCACUGACAUCGAUCCAUAAUUUUUCUCCCCUGAUAUCGAUCAGUUAUAUCUAGUACUAGUAGAUUUAGUGUUAGUAAGAAACAGAUGGAGUUUCUCAGUAAUUAAAUGACUUGCUUCAAUACAUUCCUACUGUAUAAUAUUUCUUCUUUUUUAGAAGAGACAUGAGUGUUAGAUUAGAAAUAUUUUUUUAUUGGUUGCUAGUGUAAUUUUGCAUGUCGAAGGAAACGUAUUAUCAUAGAAAAAAAAAUGUACUCGAUUAUUAUAUUAUUAACAAUUGUGUAUAUAUUAUUUUUGUGUAUAAUGCGAUAUAAUAUAAAAAUUAUAAUAUAUCAACUGUUCAUGAAAAUGAAGCUUUGCAAAUUUUGGAGAAGAAUUGUUUCGACGAGAGUUAUCUGAUAUCAAGGAGAAGAUUAAUGGCAUUCAUUAUUUUUUUAUUUAGCGAAAAGUUUUAAAUGGAAAACAUUUUUUUUUCUUUUUUUUUAAUGAAUUACUUAUAUUAAUGACGAUACACUCGACAAAAUACGCAUGUACUGUGAUACAUAUAAUAAUUGUUUCAAGACGUAAGAUCGAAAGCAUCGAAUAAUAUCGCAUUUUAUUUUUUCACAAAUAUUCAAUACGAAGUGGCGAUACUAAUUGAAUAACUGUCUUUACAUCAGAAUUCUGUAUAAUAUGUAUGAGAAUAAUAGGAAAAUAUUCAGAUAAAAGAUGAUUAAAAUGUAAUAUAAUUAUUAGAAUGGAUAUUAUAAAUAAAUU